AAUGUUUUUUUUUGGACUGCAGUAAACCAUGGAUACUGAUACCGUGGAUACGGGGGUCCAGCAGUACCCUCUGGCAUGUGCAUCAUCAACCCUGAACCCUGUCAAAACCAAACAACCCCUUUUGGGGAACGGGGGUCCUGGGGGCAGGGGAAUGGGGAGAGGAAAGCAUGGGCCCCGGAGCUUGGCUCCUGCCCUGUGCUGUUGGUCCCGGGUGAAUGCGUGCACUGCCUUCAGGCGGUCCUGCAGCUUCCUCACAUACUCCAGCCCAGGAGAUUCAGUCAUGCAGUUGGGGGGGCCAACCAAAGGCCAACUCAGCUGGGGUGUGGAGCUCUCUCCCCAACAUGAAGAGAGCGGGGUGCAGGAUGUGGAGUCCUGCCCUGAGGAGUGACAGGCCAUGAGCACUAGGGGCAGCUGUGUGUCCCAGUCACUCUGAUGCUCUGCCACAAGGACGGCAGCUGCUGUUCCAGGGUCUGUGUGAAACCUCUCCACCAGGCCGUCACUCUGAGGCUGCAGGACGGAGGUGUGGGUCUUGUGUAUGCGCAGCCGGCUGCAUUGGGAGACAAACACAGCAGACUCAGAAUUCCUCCCCUGGUCACUGUGUGGGACCCCUGAAUCUGAAACAUAAUAAUGUAAAUGCUUGGGAAACAUUAUACAUCCACCCUGUACAUUUUAUUGUGGUGGAACCCCUCCCUGGUAGGGGGCCCUCCUAUGUGUUACCUUGGCAUCCGAUGCAUCCAUUUUGCAGUGAUUACUGCUGCAGUGACUGUUGUAGUAUAUUUAUUUUGGACCAUUCCUGCUGACUGUGUGCAUUCAAGCUCACGUCGCUUCCGCUUCUGAUGCCAGCCAGUGUGUCCUGGCUUGGACCUGCCUUCACACCCUCAUCUGUAGGGUUAUUCACAGGCUGUGGUGCUGAUAGGUCACUUUGGGACAUUAUCUGUUCAACUCGGCACUACGGUUACUGCCAGUUGGGCAGAUUGUCAGGUUUUUCCUUCUACCGUUUAUAUUACACUGGAAAGUGUCCUGGUGACUCCCUAAAGUAAAGCAUUGCCACCGCAUCAGAUGGGCCUUGGAGGGAACAGUGCCCCCUUCUGGCUGCCCUAUGGACAGGGCACAGGACAGCAGCUUGGGCUACAGGGGUCACUGGUGUGGGAGGGUUUGGCACCCAGCUCCAGACAAGUCCCCCCUCCCUAACAGCCUGUCCCCCCUCCCAGCUGACCUCCUGGGUGCCGCCAAGGUGGCAAACCUGGUGAGAGCUGCCCCCCCAAACCAGCAGGGGCCCCAGACCACGUUCAGAUGGGACUCGAGGGAAAGGGCUUUGAGUGGCGCUUCAGAUAUCGAGCUUUUCCAGCCGCACAGAAACCGGUCUGAUUAUGAUGGAGAAACACAGCUGAGGUUUACAGGCCCAAGACCAGAAUGCACAGCAUAGAGAGCAUGAAGGCUGUUUUGGUGACUGUAACAAACAUACAGUGACCCCUGCUGAUGAGGUUGUUGUUCUGCCCCCCCCCACCACCUCUAGGGCCCCGUGACUGACCCGGCGAAGCCCAAGAUGACGGAGGAGCAGUUGAAAUUCCUCAAUGAAGUCUCUGAGUACCAUGACCAAACCAAGAAUAAGAUCCUGAAGCACAUAUGCCACUACAAGGACGGCAUGUCCUGCCAGAUGGUGAGCUGCUCUUGGUCAGAUGGGCUGAAUAAGAACUGCAAUGGAGGAGCAGCAAUAAGAAAACCCUUUUUCAGUUGUAUGAGACGCCAAGCUUCUAUGCCAGACCAG
Paramormyrops kingsleyae is the source of this 1768-nucleotide non-coding RNA. The record is from RefSeq and is a predicted model, not a curated record. Lineage: Eukaryota; Metazoa; Chordata; Actinopteri; Osteoglossiformes; Mormyridae.